This is a non-coding RNA of Schistosoma rodhaini, 49 nucleotides long. The record is from Rfam. NCBI's taxonomy places the organism in Eukaryota, Metazoa, Platyhelminthes, Trematoda, Strigeidida, Schistosomatidae.
GGCCUGCUGAAGAGUCCCAUAAUAGGACGAAACGGCCGUUAAGCCGUGC